This is a long non-coding RNA of Solenopsis invicta (red fire ant), 635 nucleotides long. RefSeq lists it as uncharacterized. The record is from RefSeq and is a predicted model, not a curated record. NCBI's taxonomy places the organism in Eukaryota, Metazoa, Arthropoda, Insecta, Hymenoptera, Formicidae. The transcript is spliced from 3 exons.
UUUUUCGAAAAUGAUGCGGGGGGUCAUAUAGCUGACUUCUUGCGUCAAGGAGAAGGUAAGUAAAUUUGAUGUAAAUUUAAAAUUGAGCAUAUUAAUGUAAGUGUUUUUAGAUAUUAUUUAAUUAUAUUUAUUUUUACAGUUGUAAGACACGUAACCAGAUUUGAGCCGCUACCGCCUCGACGUGCGGCGCCUCUUGAGCGAAACUACGGGGCGAGACGACGACGCGCAGAAGAGGAGCUUCAAGGUGCCGUAGCAGCCCGUAAGUAACUCUACGUACAGUAAGCAUGAGACACACGUCGUCUCGUGGAGAAAAUUAAAUAUUCAAAGUUUUAUCAAAUAUUACAUAUAGAAAAUUUUAUAGGAAGACCGCGAAUUGAAAUCGCGGACUUAGUUGCGGAGGCACCAUCACCUCGAUACACCCCCGACGGUGAAUCAUCAGAUGACGACGACGAUACUCGAGGUAAUUUUGACAGAGUUCCAUCCUCAGCCGAUGAGGCUAUAUUUACUUCAGUGUAAGCAAACGAGACGGAGGACGAAGAAGAAAGAGAGGAAAGAGCGACGCAGGAGGAGGAAGAGGAGGAAACCGAAAAAGAAGCAUUAAGAGAAGAUGAGGAGGAGGAUACAGACGAAGAUGA